AGAAGCGCGCGGCCUGCGGCACCGGGAACCGCUAUGGAUCCGUUCGUUCUGGGGAACCAAGACUCUCGCCCCCACCCCCUUCCUGUCCCGUAUGCCUUGGACAUGGGACUGAGGCCUUGAGGAAUCUUUCCGUGCUUCUCCCUAGGAGAGGACUAAGCACCUGCUGCGAGGAAGGACAGGGAUCCUCAGGAAGGGGGUCCUGGCCACUGUGGCUACUGUUUACCUGAAUCUCCUUCAUCUCAGCUCCUUCCUCCCUCCUCCCAGAAAAAAGAUGUGUAAGAAAUUAGCCCAUGGACCCCAGCUCCACCUGAACAUCAAUAUACCGUGAGGACAUUCCAGAGUCCCUGCAAAAGGUCUCGUGAGCUGCAGUUCAUUGAGUGGCUUUAGGUCACACGGAGAAAGGAGGGUUCCAGUUCCCUCUGAGAGGGCAGCCCAGGAGCCGGCACGGAAGGAGCAGGAUGCGUGUCACCUGAGACUCCGAUGACGGUGCGAGCCACAGCACUCGUGUGUGAGAACGGAGAGAAGCAGUGAAACAGAGAGAAGAAAACAAAUCCAUUCCACGGGCUAGGGAAUGUCGGUGAAACAACCUGGCCACACCGCACUUCUUAGAAGCAAAUAUUCUAUGGGAGAAACAAUCACAAGGGGUAACUCUAGAGCCUCAAGCACUGAAGUCAUCAACUGAGUUGGUGACACUCCAAACCCCCUUGGGCUGGGGUGCAAGAGCUGACGGACGCAGCCUUGGCGGCCACCUUCUCCUUCAAGCUCCUUGGCCAGGUGGGAGCCGUCAGGUCCACAUGCACACCUCCAACACUUCCCAAGCGAUGGCCAGCGCUAAAGCAGAAGCAAUAGGAUGACAUCUGCUGG
This is a long non-coding RNA of Homo sapiens (human), 864 nucleotides long. Ensembl annotates it as RNF157 antisense RNA 1. Its record names the gene RNF157-AS1. The record is from Ensembl. NCBI's taxonomy places the organism in Eukaryota, Metazoa, Chordata, Mammalia, Primates, Hominidae.